Molecule: ribosomal RNA, 468 nt
Filed under: uncultured bacterium
Lineage: Bacteria
Description: partial 16S ribosomal RNA
Rfam family: Bacterial small subunit ribosomal RNA
Source: RNAcentral
GACGAACGCUGGCGGCGUGCUUAACACAUGCAAGUCGAACGGAAAGGCCCUGCUUUUGUGGGGUGCUCGAGUGGCGAACGGGUGAGUAACACGUGAGUAACCUGCCCUUGACUUUGGGAUAACUUCAGGAAACUGGGGCUAAUACCGGAUAGGAGCUCCUGCUGCAUGGUGGGGGUUGGAAAGUUUCGGCGGUUGGGGAUGGACUCGCGGCUUAUCAGCUUGUUGGUGGGGUAGUGGCUUACCAAGGCUUUGACGGGUAGCCGGCCUGAGAGGGUGACCGGCCACCUUGGGACUGAGCUACGGCCCAGAGUCCUACGGGAGGCAGCAGUGGGGAAUAUUGCACAAUGGGCGGAAGCCUGAUGAAGCAACGCCGCGUGCGGGAUGACGGCCUUCGGGUUGUAAACCGCUUUCGCCUGUGACGAAGCGUGAGUGACGGUAAUGGGUAAAGAAGCACCGGCUAACUACGUG